GGCCCCUCCCGAGGGCCGCGGCGUUGCCAUGGAGACCACCGGGCCCGCGCCGCCGCCGCGGGGCCACUGUGAGUCAGCCGGCUGAGCGCCGCCGAGGGGCUCAGCCGGCGCGGGUGGCCGGCUCACCUAUGGGACUUUGCGGAAGCAAACACAGGAGUCCCUGCUGUGGCGCAACGGGGUCGGUGGCGUCUCUAGCGCGCAGGGCCGCAGGUGAGGAGCCGGAGAGACACAUCUAUUCAAUCCCCAAGGCUAAGGAAAGGCUGAUGGACAGGCCCUCCCCAGAGCCUGAGAGGCCUCCAGACACUGAGCCUUUGGAGAGCCCACAGCAGGAGAAAGAGGCAGCUGAGCAGGAAUGGCCUGUGUCUGAAGUCCAAGGAAAGGCCAGAAAAGGCCCAUCUCUAUGGAGGAAGCCUGGGCUAAGGCAGCCACAGGGACCGGCUGCAAGUGGGCACCAGGGACUUUUGGAGGCCGAUGGAAAUAUUCUUAUAACUGCCCACUCCUGGGCAUCGUUCCAGAGAAAACCAUGGCUCAAAAAGAUACCUGUACCCCAGUGUUCACUGCAGCACUAUUCACAACAGCCAAGACAUGGAAGCAGCCUAAAUGUCCAUCCACAGAGGACGGGAUAAAGAAGAUGUGGUGCACACACACGAUGGAAUAUUACUUAGCCACAAAAAGGAACGGAAUAUUGGCAUUUGCAGCAACGUGGAUGGACCUAGAAAUUACCGUGCCAAGUGAAGUCAGGCAGUGAGACAGCAAUGCGGUAUGCCACCACUCAUAUGCGAAAUCUAAGAAAGGGACACAGUGGGAGUUCCUGUCCUGGUUUAGCGGCUAACAAACACGACUAGCAUCCAUACGAAUGUGGCCUUGCUCAGUGGGUUAAGGAUCCGGCGUUGCCAUGAGCUGCGGUGUAGGUCACAGAUGCAGCUCGGGUCCCGCAUUGCUGCGGCUGUAGCUCCGAUGAGACCCCUCGCCUGGGAACGUCCACAUGCCUUGGAUGUGGCCCUAAAAAGACAAAAAGACCAAAGUAAAUAAAUAAAUAAAUAAAUAACUGUAAAAAAA
RNAcentral lists this long non-coding RNA (1059 nucleotides) under Sus scrofa (pig). RNAcentral's name for it is "lncRNA (ENSSSCG00025026037.1)". The record is from RNAcentral. Lineage: Eukaryota; Metazoa; Chordata; Mammalia; Artiodactyla; Suidae.